GGGAGGGCGCCCUCCUCCCGCCGGUUGGGAGCGUGGAGGGAAGGGAGGCGGACGGGCAAAAGCGCUUUGGAGACUCUGGAAAGUAGUGCUUUCUAACGGCAGGAUUUCAAAGUGGUAGCAGGGCGUCGUUGCUGCAGUGUGGUUUGGACUUGUCUGAGACAGUUCAAGCCAGUGGGUGGCUGUUCAUUCUCCUGAAAAACAACUUUGAGGAACUGUUGACUGCUGAUGGCACUUGUUACGCAGCUCUUUAAGCAACCAAGCAGCAAGCAACCCUUUAAGCCUACGUACGUCUUUAAGCAACUCGGGCAGAAUCUGGGCUGGCCCUGCAGCUUGCUUUUUGACCAAUAGAGUGAGGUGGAAGGUACACUGUCUGACUUCAAGGCUGGGUCAGAAGAGGUCUUACUACUUCUGCCUGAAUUUCUUGGAAUGCUUGCUCUUUUCCACUCUCUCUGGGAACGCAGCUGCUGUGCUGUGUGGAGCUCAAGUCACAUGGAAAGGCCACAUGUAGGCAACAUAGAGACCCCUGCUGGGAUCCCAGUCAAUAGCUCCUAUCAACUGCCGGCAUGGGAAUGGGGCACACCAACGUGACAACCUGACUGAGCCUCGAGCUGACGCCAUAGCCAACUUGGCACUGCAGCUACGCGACCCCCCUGGGGGAACUGUCCAGCCAAGCCCAUUCAACCCCAAAAACUGGGGGAAAUAAUAAUAAAACUAUGUUUUAAGCCAA
This 727-nucleotide long non-coding RNA is filed under the name Equus asinus (donkey). RNAcentral's name for it is "lncRNA (ENSEASG00005033839.1)". Lineage: Eukaryota; Metazoa; Chordata; Mammalia; Perissodactyla; Equidae. The record is from RNAcentral.